CCUACGGGAGGCAGCAGUGGGGAAUAUUGGACAAUGGGGGCAACCCUGAUCCAGCCAUGCCGCGUGAGGGAUGAAGGCCUUCGGGUUGUAAACCUCUUUUAGCAGGGAAGAUGAUGACGGUACCUGCAGAAUAAGCCACGGCUAACUUCGUGCCAGCAGCCGCGGUAAUACGAAGGUGGCUAGCGUUGUUCAGAUUUACUGGGCGUAAAGGGAGCGUAGGCGGUAGAAUAAGUCAGAUGUGAAAGCCCAAGGCUUAACCUUGGAAUUGCAUUUGAAACUGUUUUGCUAGAGUGUGGGAGAGGAUAGCGGAAUUCCAAGUGUAGAGGUGAAAUUCGUAGAUAUUUGGAAGAACACCAGUGGCGAAGGCGGCUAUCUGGACCACAACUGACGCUGAGGCUCGAAAGCAUGGGGAUCAAACAGGAUUAGAUACCCUGGUAGUCCAUGCCUUAAACGAUGAGUGCUAGAUGUUGCGGGUUUACCCUGCAGUAUCGCCGCUAACGCAUUAAGCACUCCGCCUGGGGGAGGUACGGUCGCGAGAUAAACUACAANAGAGUAGACGCGNGAGACGUGCCGAGGACGACGACGAGGGAGGUAGG
This 596-nucleotide ribosomal RNA is filed under the name uncultured bacterium. RNAcentral's name for it is "bacterial SSU rRNA". It matches the Rfam family "Bacterial small subunit ribosomal RNA", at positions 338 to 1533 of the family's 1533-position model. The record is from RNAcentral.